Molecule: non-coding RNA, 150 nt
Filed under: Janthinobacterium sp.
Lineage: Bacteria; Pseudomonadati; Pseudomonadota; Betaproteobacteria; Burkholderiales; Oxalobacteraceae
Also listed under: 1 other name
Description: FMN sequence
Rfam family: FMN riboswitch aptamer (RFN element)
About the family: The RFN element is a highly conserved domain that is found frequently in the 5'-untranslated regions of prokaryotic mRNAs that encode for flavin mononucleotide (FMN) biosynthesis and transport proteins.
Source: RNAcentral
CGACGUCUUCGGGGCGGGGUGCGAUUCCCCACCGGCGGUAAGGCCAGCGAUGGCCAAGCCCGCGAGCGCCUUUGCAAUCCAUCGCAAAGGGUCAGCAGAUCUGGUGUGACUCCAGAGCCGACGGUAUAGUCCGGAUGAAAGAAGAUGUGC